AUUGGCUUGCGUCGUCUGCUUGGCAACAUUUUUCAGACUGCUGGCUAUUAGCAGACAGAGCAUGCGCAGAAGAAGUCGAGCCAACUGGGAAACGGCGCUUUGGGGCUGGGGGUCAACUCCAGACAGUGGGACAGGCCAGAGCACGUCGUGGGGGUCACUCCCCUCAAGGAAGUUUCCCACAGCUGGGGACACUACGUCCUUGAACCCUACAGCAUGGUUCACUAUUCCACUCCAUCAGACAGAGAUAAUGUUUCUUGUGAACAAGAGUCUCAGAAGACAACUGACAACCAAGUGUAAAAUUUUAGAGAGGUCUUGAUGUCCCCAAGUCUUUCAACCACUAAAAUGAUUUGUGAUCUUUGAAGUACAGAACAAUGAAAUUACAUCGUCAUAGAUGGAAAACCACAUGUUCUAAUACAGACAGUGAAGACCUUUGUUGGCCUGGGAUCCAUAAUGCCAGCUAGGUUAACUCCAUUCAAAAAUAUCACUGAGAGCCCAUCUUAGUGGUUUAUUCUCAGGACUGAAGGAGGCCAAAGGACUCCAUUUGACUUGAUGAGAGGCUGAGUAAAAAAUUGGUUCUUCAGUCUUAUAUGGCAGAUUGACAAAAUUUAAAGCAUAUUAUAGGGAAAUAAUGGAGGAAAAGUUGAGGAGGACUCCCCAAAUCCAAGGGAUUUUUGUGUCUGAAGGCACAGGUGCUGAGGUGAGGAAGAGUCGGUGUUUCCCCCAAAUCCACUGGUCUGCAUCAUUCAUCACAGACAGAGGAAUCAAAGUUGUGCUUCAUUGGAAGAAGGAGAACCAGACCGUUUCUCUCUUUGUGGCUUACCUCAGGAUGUCCGCAAGGCAUCCAGUCUUUAUGCCUCAGAUAGUUGCUGGCAACUCCACCCACCCCUCGGGUUUAAAAUGCUCCAGCACAAAUUCAUAGGAUCUAGUGGGAGCACCAUCCCCAUCUUCCUCACUGACACCCCGGCAGCAGCAGCAGCCAGCUGUGGUGUCCAGAGUCCAACAGCGGCAUCAGCAGGAUCCAGAUGGGACUGGGGUGUGGUUCUGGUUAACUAGCUGCUCAUUUCUUCCUGCCUGCGCUAUGGGCUUCCAGCUACCCGUGUCUUCAGUAAAUUACUUUUCCACUCAUAACAGACAGAGCCAGUCUCUUUUGCUUAAAAGUAGAGAUGCUGGCUGACACAUAUUACCCUUUAAAAAGCACGUGCCUCCCACCAUCUUCCCUUCUCCCCUAACUGUCCUAGCUGGGUGUGAGCCAGAAACUUUUAAAAGGCACGAGAGUGGAAAGAAACUGAUUCUAAG
Molecule: long non-coding RNA, 1296 nt
Filed under: Equus caballus (horse)
Lineage: Eukaryota; Metazoa; Chordata; Mammalia; Perissodactyla; Equidae
Description: lncRNA (ENSECAG00000057197.1)
Source: RNAcentral